Molecule: ribosomal RNA, 512 nt
Filed under: uncultured bacterium
Lineage: Bacteria
Description: bacterial SSU rRNA
Rfam family: Bacterial small subunit ribosomal RNA
Source: RNAcentral
GGCUCAGGACGAACGCUGGCGGCGUGCCUAAUACAUGCAAGUCGAGCGAAUGAUAAGGAGCUUGCUCCUUGAUUAGCGGCGGACGGGUGAGUAACACGUGGGUAACCUACCCUAUAGACUGGGAUAACUUCGGGAAACCGGAGCUAAUACCGGAUAAUACUUCGAAACACAUGUUUUGAAGUUGAAAGAUGGUUUCGGCUAUCACUAUAGGAUGGACCCGCGGCGCAUUAGCUAGUUGGUGGGGUAAUGGCUCACCAAGGCAACGAUGCGUAGCCGACCUGAGAGGGUGAUCGGCCACACUGGGACUGAGACACGGCCCAGACUCCUACGGGAGGCAGCAGUAGGGAAUCUUCCACAAUGGACGAAAGUCUGAUGGAGCAACGCCGCGUGAGUGAAGAAGGAUUUCGGUUCGUAAAACUCUGUUGCAAGGGAAGAACAAGUAGCGUAGUAACUGGCGCUACCUUGACGGUACCUUGUUAGAAAGCCACGGCUAACUACGUGCCAGCCGCCGC